Molecule: transfer RNA, 72 nt
Filed under: Candidatus Heimdallarchaeota archaeon
Lineage: Archaea; Promethearchaeati; Candidatus Heimdallarchaeota
Description: tRNA-Asp
Rfam family: tRNA
About the family: Transfer RNA (tRNA) molecules are approximately 80 nucleotides in length. Their secondary structure includes four short double-helical elements and three loops (D, anti-codon, and T loops).
Source: RNAcentral
GCCCCGAUAGUGUAGUGGUUAUCAUCGAGGACUGUCACUCCUUGGACCUGGGUUCGAUCCCCAGUCGGGGCG